This 500-nucleotide ribosomal RNA is filed under the name uncultured bacterium. RNAcentral's name for it is "partial 16S ribosomal RNA". It matches the Rfam family "Bacterial small subunit ribosomal RNA", at positions 30 to 523 of the family's 1533-position model. The record is from RNAcentral.
AGCGAACGCUGGCGGCAGGCCUAACACAUGCAAGUCGAACGGUAACGCGGGGGCAACCCUGGCGACGAGUGGCGAACGGGUGAGUAAUACAUCGGAACGUACCUGGUAGUGGGGGAUAGCCCGGCGAAAGCCGGAUUAAUACCGCAUACGCACCACGGUGGAAAGCGGGGGACCGCAAGGCCUCGCGCUAUCAGAGCGGCCGAUGGCAGAUUAGCUAGUUGGUGGGGUAAAAGCCUACCAAGGCGACGAUCUGUAGCUGGUCUGAGAGGACGACCAGCCAGACUGGGACUGAGACACGGCCCAGACUCCUACGGGAGGCAGCAGUGGGGAAUUUGGGACAAUGGGGGAAACCCUGAUCCAGCGAUGCCGCGUGUGUGAAGAAGGCCUUCGGGUUGUAAAGCACUUUUGUUCGGGAAGAAAUCUGUCGGGCUAAUACCCUGGCGGGAUGACGGUACCGGAAGAAUAAGCACCGGCUAACUACGUGCCAGCAGCCGCGGUAA